GGAUUAAUUUAUUGGUCGUGCAAUCGUACGUACUGGUAUUAUUGAUUCCUACCUUCUGACGAACCAUGAUGUCAUUAAUUUGGUGUUAUGGGAAAUCAGGACUGUUACUUUGAAAAAAUUAGAGUGUUUAAAGCAGGCUCACGCUUAAAUACAUUAGCAUGGAAUAGCGAAAUAGGACGUUUGAUUCUAUUUUGUUGGUUUCUAGGAUCGACGUA
This 215-nucleotide ribosomal RNA is filed under the name uncultured Glomeromycotina. RNAcentral describes it as "partial small subunit ribosomal RNA". The stretch from base 37 to 215 matches the Rfam family "Eukaryotic small subunit ribosomal RNA", at positions 684 to 864 of the family's 1831-position model. Lineage: Eukaryota; Fungi; Glomeromycota. The record is from RNAcentral.